Molecule: ribosomal RNA, 393 nt
Filed under: uncultured bacterium
Lineage: Bacteria
Description: bacterial SSU rRNA
Rfam family: Bacterial small subunit ribosomal RNA
Source: RNAcentral
GUGUCAGCAGCCGCGGUAAUACGUAGGGUGCGAGCGUUAAUCGGAAUUACUGGGCGUAAAGCGUGCGCAGGCGGUUUCGCAAGUCAGAUGUGAAAGCCCCGGGCUUAACCUGGGAACUGCGUUUGAAACUACGAAGCUAGAGUACGGCAGAGGGAGGUGGAAUUCCAAGUGUAGCAGUGAAAUGCGUAGAUAUUUGGAGGAACACCGAUGGCGAAGGCAGCCUCCUGGGCUAGUACUGACGCUCAUGCACGAAAGCGUGGGGAGCAAACAGGAUUAGAUACCCUGGUAGUCCACGCCCUAAACGAUGGCAACUAGUUGUUGGGGAUUAACAUCCUUAGUAACGCAGCUAACGCGUGAAGUUGCCCGCCUGGGGAGUACGGUCGCAAGAUUAAA